RNAcentral lists this transfer RNA (68 nucleotides) under Wiebesia pumilae. Its description in RNAcentral is "tRNA-Phe". Lineage: Eukaryota; Metazoa; Arthropoda; Insecta; Hymenoptera; Agaonidae. The record is from RNAcentral.
AUUUAAAUAGUUUAAAGUUAAAAUAUAAUAUUGAAGAUAUUAUGAUAAUAUUAAUUUAUUUUUAAAUG